CGAGGGGCAGCAUUUUAGUUUGCUUGCAAACUGAAGAUGGCGACCGGCGCACGGGUGAGUAACACGUAUCCAACCUGCCGAUAACUCCGGAAUAGCCUUUCGAAAGAAAGAUUAAUACCGGAUGGCAUACGAAUAUCGCAUGAUAUUUUUAUUAAAGAAUUUCGGUUAUCGAUGGGGAUGCGUUCCAUUAGUUUGUUGGCGGGGUAACGGCCCACCAAGACUACGAUGGAUAGGGGUUCUGAGAGGAAGGUCCCCCACAUUGGAACUGAGACACGGUCCAAACUCCUACGGGAGGCAGCAGUGAGGAAUAUUGGUCAAUGGGCGAGAGCCUGAACCAGCCAAGUAGCGUGAAGGAUGAAGGCUCUAUGGGUCGUAAACUUCUUUUAUAUGGGAAUAAAGUUUUCCACGUGUGGAAUUUUGUAUGUACCAUAUGAAUAAGGAUCGGCUAACUCCGUGCCAGCAGCCGCGGUAAUACGGAGGAUCCGAGCGUUAUCCGGAUUUAUUGGGUUUAAAGGGAGCGUAGGUGGAUUGUUAAGUCAGUUGUGAAAGUUUGCGGCUCAACCGUAAAAUUGCAGUUGAAACUGGCAGUCUUGAGUACAGUAGAGGUGGGCGGAAUUCGUGGUGUAGCGGUGAAAUGCUUAGAUAUCACGAAGAACUCCGAUUGC
This 665-nucleotide ribosomal RNA is filed under the name uncultured Bacteroidales bacterium. Its description in RNAcentral is "bacterial SSU rRNA". It matches the Rfam family "Bacterial small subunit ribosomal RNA", at positions 63 to 716 of the family's 1533-position model. Lineage: Bacteria; Pseudomonadati; Bacteroidota; Bacteroidia; Bacteroidales. The record is from RNAcentral.